This 72-nucleotide transfer RNA is filed under the name Clavaria fumosa. Its description in RNAcentral is "tRNA-Phe". It matches the Rfam family "tRNA". From Rfam's summary of the family: Transfer RNA (tRNA) molecules are approximately 80 nucleotides in length. Their secondary structure includes four short double-helical elements and three loops (D, anti-codon, and T loops). Further hydrogen bonds mediate the characteristic L-shaped molecular structure. tRNAs have two regions of fundamental functional importance: the anti-codon, which is responsible for specific mRNA codon recognition, and the 3' end, to which the tRNAs corresponding amino acid is attached (by aminoacyl-tRNA synthetases). tRNAs cope with the degeneracy of the genetic code in two manners: having more than one tRNA (with a specific anti-codon) for a particular amino acid; and 'wobble' base-pairing, i.e. permitting non-standard base-pairing at the 3rd anti-codon position. Lineage: Eukaryota; Fungi; Basidiomycota; Agaricomycetes; Agaricales; Clavariaceae. The record is from RNAcentral.
GCCUUGGUGGCUUAACGGUUAAAGCGCUACUCUGAAGAAGUAGAUACGUGUGUUCGAUUCACUCCCAGGGCA